This is a long non-coding RNA of Peromyscus californicus insignis, 4514 nucleotides long. RefSeq lists it as uncharacterized. The transcript is spliced from 5 exons. NCBI's taxonomy places the organism in Eukaryota, Metazoa, Chordata, Mammalia, Rodentia, Cricetidae. The record is from RefSeq and is a predicted model, not a curated record.
GGUUGUUGGGGAGCGUCCUGCGCAGUCCCACACUGCGACACUCACGCGCACUUUACCUCACAUCUCAGCUCGCCAGGCCACUUCGGAUCUGCGCUCUUGGCCGCUUCCAAGGCCUCCAGUCUCCUUUACCCGGGGAAACUAAGGACCGCGGAGGUUAGGGUGCAGGGUCCUCUGACUGUUGACCCGCGCGUUCCAAUCUGCAUCCUUUCAAGUUGAUGCGCCCAGGACCCAAGGACGCAGCACUGGGACUCCAGUGUGGCGCCUUGCAGUGACACCCCAUCCCCAGUGCUUGCUUGGGCCUUGGCUGCCAGGCCCUCUUGACACCACGAAGGAUGACGAAGCUGGUCUGCGGCAGCCAAGGCCUCUCCCCUCCUACUCUUCGAACUCGCUGGUGGGCAUCACGGCCCAGGAAGCAGGAGUCGAGAACUGACACCUUGGUGCAGAGGGGCCACGAGAGGCAUCUCCAUCCUGCCAGGAAGCAGCUGGACCACAGCGCUCCCAUGGAGCAUUCUCACUGACAUCGGUAUGGAAAGACCAAAUCAGGAGGACAUCGCAGGCACUAACCAUCUCAUCACGAUCGCCUGCACGAGUCUCAUCCAGGCUAUGGUGGUGGUGUCCGAAGGUGCCACAUAGCGUGGAGAGCAAGGUCGCUGCCACACAACAUGCCUUCAGACCUUGCUGCCACUGGUUCACCAUCAAGGAACAUCUUUUUACUUUGGUGAGUAUUCAGAGGGAAGGGCCUUGACUCUGGAGACUUGGGGACCAAAGUUAGAGACCCUUCAAACAGGUUCUGGCACUCCCCUUAGAGCCACAGAAUGCCAUGUGGCCCUAAGGACCUUGUUCUCACAGGUGAGCACCAGGGAUAAUCAGGAAUAUUAAACGCGCAGUGUUGUCUCUUCAAAGGGAGAGACGUAUAACUGUUUUCCACCCAGAAGGCUGGGAGUGGAGAUGUUUAAUAUUCCGCUGACCUUUGUGCUAUCUGUAUGACCAAGACCGUGCCAGAGCCUCCCCCAGACCCUUAAGAUGUCGAAUGCAGUCAACUAACCGGGUGGUGGUGGUGCAUGCCUUUACUUCCAGGACUUGUAUGGCAAAGGCAGAUGGAUCUCUGAGUUCGAGGCCAGCCUGGUCUACAGAGUGAGUCCAGGACAGCCAGGACUACACAGAGAAACUUUCUGUCUCGAAAAAACCAGAAACAAAUAAAUAAAAAAUUUUAAAAAGAUGUCGUGUGUAGUCAUUCUAUAGAACCCAUCUUUCUGGGGAUGUCAACAUGUACCUUACAAAGAGUUUUGAUGUAUUGUGUGAUGUGCUUAAAUAUACCUAAAGUAAAAUACCUGGUGUCAGACUCUUGAAGUUUGAACCAACACUUUGCCGGGCGGUGGUGGCGCACGCCUUUAAUCCCAGCACUUGGGAGGCAGAGGCAGGUGGAUCUUUGAGUUAGAGGCUAGCCUGGUCUACAGAGUGAGUCCAGGACAGCCAGGAUUACACAGAGAAACCCUGUCUCGAAAAUACAAUAAAGUCAAAUAAAAUCAAAUAAAAGUUUGAACCAACACUGGCUAUUGAGUCAUGUUGAACUAGACUGCCCUUUUGCCUCAUUUGGAUCAUUACUCUGCUGCCUGUGGUGUCUGCAGAGACCCCCCACAACUGGCGACCCACAGAAGGGACUCAACUCUGCGAGAAGGUAAGAUUUUUCUUUUAAUAGAAUAAGAGUAGGAGUUCGGUGCAUUCACCCAAGAGGUCAUAACGGUAAGUGAGAAAGUAAAAUAGGCAUGGCUUCUUUUCAAUCCUCUUGAGACAAAGCAUUUUAUACAAUUACUGAGAUGUUUGUUAAGAUCCAAAGGAACAAAAUAUUCAGAACAACAGCUUCGCAGCUUGGUACAAGUGUCUGCAAAAUUCAGUCCUUGGCUUCCUGAACAAGAAACUAUUGAUGUUGAACAUUGGAAAUUCAGCCCGAAGGUGUGGUCUACAGAGAAAGUUCCAGGAUAGUCAGUGCUACACAGAGAAAAACCCGGUUGAGAAAAACCAAAAAGAAAAUUGGAAAUGCAUAGGAGCUAAGGUAAAAAGGGCCCAUAAAAGAGGAGAUAAAAUUCCUGUCAAUUAUUUUGCAAGCUGGAGUACACCAAUAUAUUGCCCGGAUUCUCAGGAGGAUCAUUGAAAAAAGAAUUUCUGUUUUCUCUGCAGGCCAAGUGGACUCCGCUGCUACUCUGGUUUCCUGGAGGUCACCCAGACAGGCUUGGUCAGGGCAUGCUCAGUCUGAUGGAACUCAGAGCAUCCAUCUAAUGAUGUACUCACAGCCUUAGCAAAAUAAGGAAUUUUAUCUUGUCUUUACAUAAAAAAAGGAGACUUUCUCACUUCAGGCCUUUCAGGCACUGAGAGACCAAACACCACCUAGAUUCCUCUGGAUUUAUGAUUGCUAAAAUAUCAUUUUUUAAAUUUGAAUUUUGGUACAGCAUAACAAAAAAAUUAAAAAUAGCAAUGUGAACAAGCUUAACAUGGAUUUAAGGGAAAAAAUAGGGGCAAAUUGGAAUCAAAAAAUGUUUUAGAAUAUUUCUUCUGGAUAACAUGGUGGCCAAGGACUGAAAACAUAAUUGCAUGUUUCUCACAUUUCCUUGGAGGGCAGAAGGAGUUAAACUAGAAAUGCAAUCAGUGUGAGUUAGAUUUUAAAGUUUUCACCUAAAAUUAUUUUUGGUCCAGACUGAGAAUCUGUGAAAUGUAGUGAGAACUAGAGCCUUCUGGAGAGUUCUUCCUCCAUGGAACCCAUAUGCUUGGGUGAUGUUCACAUUUUUGUUUUGUUUACAGUAUCAGCUGGGUAUGUACUUUCAUGCUCACAUAGGAAAACCCAAUUGUUUUCUCCUUCAGGAUUUUCUGUGAUUGUUUCUCAGGUACUUCUGAAUAUCCUGUUACCUAAUAGGAAAGUCUUCUCGAACUCAAAACUAAAAUUGCCCUGAAUUUUAAAGAUCCCAAAUCUUACAUAAAUAGCCUUAGGUUUAAACCUUUGAAAGUUAAUGCCCUUUGUGAAUUAAGUAGGUUCUACUUAUGUUUUAGGUUUGUGCUUGCCCUUGGUCUGACAUAAAUGAUCAGGCCCUUAACCAGGGAGGAAGUUAGAGGAGGCUCGUGAGAGCCUGCCCUCUAUUGAAGGCUUAUUCUACACAGUAUUCUAGUGCAUAGUUAGUAGUGAGUGGUUCUCACAUCAGCAUGACAUCUAGAACUAGGCUGUCUGUGUCUAGGGCCUUCUCUACUGUCUUGUGUGUAGGGACCUGUGCUCAGUGUGCACCAAAGGCAUACACAGUGCCUCUCCCUACCCGGUCAGCUGCAGAGCACAACCCCAGGCAUGACAUGGGGUCCUGGGGGCUCCAGGAAAACACCAUUGGAUCAUAUCUAGAACUUUAUUUAUCAAAUAGCUCUUUAAACAUUUCCUUCCUAGGACUCCCAUUACAACUAAAAACAUAAUGGACCUGUUUAUACUAGGAAAAACUUUAAAAUUUUUCACAAUUUAUGGAGUAUUAAUCGUGUUACUGAAAUCCCUUACAAUCAACAGGGUCAAACUAUUAUAAAACAACACCAUCCCCAGCACCCACGGCUGUCUCUCCAGAUAGAUAGAUAGAUAGAUAGAUAGAUAGAUAAAUAGAUAGAUAGAUAGAUAGAUAGAUAAAUAGAUAGAUAGAUAGAUAGAUAAAUAGAUAGAUAGAUAAAUAAAUAAAUAAAUAAACUAAACACCAAAUACUGAUACACAACUUUAAAUCUCCACAUACUAUGCUACAUUUAGCUAUACUAACUUUAUUUUUUUUUCCACUUUAAAGAAUUUAAAGCAUUUUGCCCUAAAGGAGAUACAACCUAAAGUAUGGGUUUUAAAAAAAAAAUCUAAAAACUAAUCAAUGGAAAGGGCCCGGUGUUCUAACACCGAGGCGAGGUUAUGCUUAUAUCUUACAGAAAAUAAAUGAAGUCCCAGAUGGCUGCUGCCCUGACACAUCCAACGAGGACGACAUCCCGGAGACCAGCAGACAAGCCAAGUGUCCAGAGACAGGCGACAGAGCCAUCAAAAGGAGAUGUCCCAAGAGGAAGAGUGAGCCGAUAACUUGGGGAGACAUCAAGACUUUAACUUGUCAAGCCAAGACUUUGGGGAAACAACAAGGACAUAAUACUACUGACCCCCCAAAACAAUUAUGUUUACUGGCUAUAUUACAUGUUAAUUCUCAGCUUUGUCAGUGCAGAAUCCAAAUUCCUUUUGUCGGGGGGACAAAAGGCACAUCUGUGAUAAGAGAGAGUAUGAUGUUUUACCAUGCUAAAAACUGUUUUUAUCCUUUGGGACCAGUUGUCUGGACAAAAGAGGGUAUACAAAUAUCUAGUCACAUUCAUGAUGGGGGAUAUUUUGGUUUUUAAUACAAAUGUAAUAAUAUAGAUUUUAGCAUGAUCAAGUACUCUUUAGAAAGCUCUGAUAGUGGAAAUUAUAACUGUAUAAAUGAGCUAGAUGAAAAAGAAUAUCUGAUGUAUUGCUUACUAAAGUUGAACCAACACCA